This is a long non-coding RNA of Oncorhynchus nerka (sockeye salmon), 370 nucleotides long. RefSeq lists it as uncharacterized. Lineage: Eukaryota; Metazoa; Chordata; Actinopteri; Salmoniformes; Salmonidae. The transcript has 2 exons. The record is from RefSeq and is a predicted model, not a curated record.
AAUAAAACAUACAAGAUCACCUUCUAUUUGCCUCCCAGUCUUUUUUUAUUUGAUUUUAUGCCCUUUGAGACAGCAUACCUGUGAAGCGCUUCACCCACAGACUCAGACAGACACUGGGGAGGAACUGUAGUCAAUGGCUCCUUUCCAAUAUCCCCACUAGCAUACCACUUACAAGAUGUUACCCUGCUAGUUCCGGAGGGCCGGAACUGAUUGAAUCGGCCUGGAAUCAAAAUGAAUGAAUGCCCAGUGUCGGCCCAAGUACAUCAGGCCGUUUCCAUCUACCGCAAUUCAGGUCGACUUUGCCGGCAUCUUACGUGAAUCCCCCCAGAAGCGGCCCAAAUGCAAAUUUAAAUAAAUGUCUACAACAUUA